Eucalyptus grandis is the source of this 3062-nucleotide RNA transcript. It is a transcript of the gene named exocyst complex component SEC3A, with no coding region annotated. NCBI's taxonomy places the organism in Eukaryota, Viridiplantae, Streptophyta, Magnoliopsida, Myrtales, Myrtaceae. The record is from RefSeq and is a predicted model, not a curated record. The transcript is spliced from 25 exons.
UCAAUUUUCACACGCUCGGCGUCGAGACUUGAAACACGCUCGUCUUCUUCACCAUCACCGGGAACGGGGGGGAACCCGAAAUCCGCGCAGAUUCGCGUACCGUCGUCGCCUGAAUCGGCAGCAAGCUGCGCAGCGGCCCUGAGGCGGGGCGCGGUGGCACGGCAAUGGCGAAAUCGAGCGCCGACGACGAGGAGCUCAGGCGGGCCUGCGAGGCCGCCAUCGAAGGCACCAAGGAGAAGAUCGUGAUGUCGAUCCGCGUCGCCAAGAGCCGGGGGAUCUGGGGCAAGUCCGGCAAGCUCGGCCGCCACAUGGCCAAGCCGAGGGUCCUCGCUCUCUCCACAAAGUCAAAAGGUCAGAGAACAAAAGCUUUUCUUCGGGUACUUAAAUAUUCCACUGGAGGAGUACUUGAGCCAGCAAAGUUGUACAAGCUCAAGCAUCUUUCAAAGGUUGAAGUUAUAACAAAUGACCCCAGCGGAUGCACAUUUAUGUUGGGAUUCGAUAACCUCAGAAGCCAGAGUGUUGCUCCACCUCAAUGGACAAUGCGCAAUAUCGAUGACAGGAACCGCCUCUUACUUUGCAUCUUAAAUAUCUGUAAAGAUGUCCUUGGUCGCCUGCCAAAAGUAGUUGGAAUAGAUGUUGUCGAAAUGGCUCUUUGGGCUAAGGAAAAUACACCGACAGUCACUACUCAAAGAAACCUGGAAGACGGGCCAGUUGUUACUGCUGUAACUGAAAGUGACUUGAAAGUUACAGUUGAAAAAGAACUAGUCUCCCAAGCCGAGGAAGAGGACAUGGAGGCUCUUUUGGGAACCUAUGUGAUGGGAAUUGGUGAAGCAGAGGCAUUCUCUGAAAGGUUGAAACGAGAGCUUCUUGCAUUAGAAGCGGCAAACGUGCAUGCCAUUUUGGAAAGUGAACCUUUAGUGGAUGAGGUACUGCAAGGACUAGAGGCAGCAACAAACUGUGUUGAAGAUAUGGAUGAAUGGUUAGGCAUCUUCAAUGUAAAACUAAGACACAUGAGAGAGGACAUUGAAUCGAUAGAGACUCGAAAUAACAAAUUGGGGAUGCAGUCUGUAAAUAAUAAAUCACUUAUCGAAGAACUUGAUAAGCUUCUUGAACGGUUGCGAGUACCAUCUGAGUAUGCAGCAUGUCUAACAGGAGGUUCUUUUGAUGAGGGCCAUAUGCUCCAAAAUGUUGAAGCAUGCGAGUGGCUGACUAGUGCAUUACGGGGCCUUGAAGUUCCUAAUUUGGAUCCUACCUACGCGAAUAUGCGAGCAGUCAAGGAGAAGAGAGCAGAACUUGAAAAAUUGAAAAGUACAUUUGUGCGACGAGCUUCUGAUUUUUUGAGAAACUACUUUGCUAGUCUGGUGGAUUUCAUGAUAAGUGAUAAGAGCUAUUUUUCUCAGCGGGGACAAUUGAAGAGACCUGAUCAUGCUGACUUGCGCUAUAAAUGCAGAACUUAUGCUCGUCUCCUGCAACAUUUGAAGAGUCUUGAUAAGAACUGUUUGGGUCCAUUGAGAAAAGCUUAUUGCAGCUCCCUCAAUUUGCUUCUUCGCAGGGAGGCACGUGAGUUUGCAAAUGAGCUUCGUGCUAGUACAAAAGCAUCAAGAAAUCCAACAGUCUGGCUUGAAGGUUCUACCGGUCCUGGUCAGAAUGUGAAUAAUUCAGAUACCUCCACUGUAUCAGAGGCAUAUGCCAAGAUGCUUACAAUCUUCAUCCCUCUCCUUGUAGAUGAGAGUUCUUUCUUUGCACACUUCAUGUGCUUUGAAGUUCCAGCACUUGUUCCACCUGGAGGUGUCAGUAAUGGCAAUAAAGCAGGAUCUAAUGACGAUGAUGAUGAUGAUUUGGGAAUCUUGGACAUCGAUGAAAAUGACGACGGUAAAGCUGGCAAUGACUCUGUAGAGCUAGUAGCACUAAAUGAGUCCCUACAGGAUUUGCUCGAUGGUAUCCAAGAGGACUUCUAUGCUGUGGUGGAUUGGGCAUACAAAAUAGAUCCUUUGCGUUGCAUAUCGAUGCAUGGGAUCACAGAGCGAUAUAUUUCUGGUCAGAAAGCUGAUGCUGCAGGUUUUGUGCGUCUCUUGCUCGACAAUCUGGAGUCAAGGAUAUCUAUGCAAUUCGGCCGUUUCGUUGAUGAAGCUUGUCACCAGAUUGAAAGAAACGAGCGAAAUGUUAAGCAGACGGGAGUUUUAUCAUACAUUCCUAGAUUUGCAACUCUUGCUACACGCAUGGAACAGUACAUUCAGGGACAAUCCAGGGAUCUUGUUGACCAAGCAUACACUAAAUUCGUUAGUAUUAUGUUUGUCACAUUGGAGAAAAUAGCUCAAACUGAUCCAAAGUAUGCUGACAUCUUUCUUUUGGAGAACUAUGCUGCAUUCCAGAACAGCUUAUAUGAUUUAGCCAAUGUUGUACCCACCUUAGCAAAGUUCUAUCAUCAAGCAAGUGAAGCUUAUGAACAAGCUUGUACGCGUUUUAUCAGCAUGAUUAUAUACUACUUUGUUUAUGGCAGCAAUUCGAACGGCUUUUCCAAUUUGCUCGAAAAAUUGAGGAUUUGAUGUACACUAUUUCUCCUGAAGAGAUUCCUUUCCAACUUGGAUUGUCCAAAAUGGAUCUUCGGAAGAUGCUAAAAUCCAGUUUAUCUGGUGUUGACAAGUCCAUUGGUGCAAUGUACAAGAAAUUGCAGAAGAACUUAACUUCAGACGAGUUAUUGCCUUCCCUUUGGGACAAGUGCAAGAAGGAGUUUCUUGACAAGUAUGAAAGUUUUGCCCAACUUGUUGCCAAGAUCUAUCCAAACGAGACCAUCCCAUCCGUAGUGGAAAUGAGAGAUCUUCUUGCCUCCAUGUAGUUAGAGAAAGAGUUUUGCACUGUAUAAUCUGUCAAUAGUGUCCUAUAUUCUCUUUCUUUGGGUGUAAUAUAGAUCUUUUAGGCUGACUGAUUUCCCAUUUGUUAUUAAUUGGUCCUUAACUAAUUUGUUACUCUAGUUCUCCUGGUUUCUACUAUUGUAUGAGAGAACCUCGUGUUUGUAUCAUUCUUCAGCUUGUUGAGCAACUAUUUUUUGCAAGUUCAUGCUA